GCCUGAGUGGUGGAAUUUGGUAGACGCACUGCGUUCAGAGCGCAGCGGCCGUGAGGCCAUGAGGGUUCGAGUCCCUCCUCAGGUA
RNAcentral lists this transfer RNA (85 nucleotides) under Mycobacterium sp. BK086. RNAcentral describes it as "tRNA-Leu". It matches the Rfam family "tRNA". Rfam says of the family: Transfer RNA (tRNA) molecules are approximately 80 nucleotides in length. Their secondary structure includes four short double-helical elements and three loops (D, anti-codon, and T loops). RNAcentral also lists the same sequence under 2 other names. The record is from RNAcentral. Lineage: Bacteria; Bacillati; Actinomycetota; Actinomycetes; Mycobacteriales; Mycobacteriaceae.